This 467-nucleotide ribosomal RNA is filed under the name uncultured bacterium. RNAcentral describes it as "partial 16S ribosomal RNA". It matches the Rfam family "Bacterial small subunit ribosomal RNA", at positions 28 to 506 of the family's 1533-position model. The record is from RNAcentral.
GACGAACGCUGGCGGCGUGCUUAACACAUGCAAGUCGAACGGAAAGGCCCUGCUUUUGUGGGGUGCUCGAGUGGCGAACGGGUGAGUAACACGUGAGUAACCUGCCCUUGACUUUGGGAUAACUUCAGGAAACUGGGGCUAAUACCGGAUAGGAGCUCCUGCUGCAUGGUGGGGGUUGGAAAGUUUCGGCGGUUGGGGAUGGACUCGCGGCUUAUCAGCUUGUUGGUGGGGUAGUGGCUUACCAAGGCUUUGACGGGUAGCCGGCCUGAGAGGGUGACCGGCCACAUUGGGACUGAGAUACGGCCUAGACUCCUACGGGAGGCAGCAGUGGGGAAUAUUGCACAAUGGGCGGAAGCCUGAUGCAGCAACGCCGCGUGCGGGAUGACGGCCUUCGGGUUGUAAACCGCUUUCGCCUGUGACGAAGCGUGAGUGACGGUAAUGGGUAAAGAAGCACCGGCUAACUACGU